This 76-nucleotide transfer RNA is filed under the name Lachnospira pectinoschiza. RNAcentral's name for it is "tRNA-Pro(tgg)". It matches the Rfam family "tRNA". From Rfam's summary of the family: Transfer RNA (tRNA) molecules are approximately 80 nucleotides in length. Their secondary structure includes four short double-helical elements and three loops (D, anti-codon, and T loops). Further hydrogen bonds mediate the characteristic L-shaped molecular structure. tRNAs have two regions of fundamental functional importance: the anti-codon, which is responsible for specific mRNA codon recognition, and the 3' end, to which the tRNAs corresponding amino acid is attached (by aminoacyl-tRNA synthetases). tRNAs cope with the degeneracy of the genetic code in two manners: having more than one tRNA (with a specific anti-codon) for a particular amino acid; and 'wobble' base-pairing, i.e. permitting non-standard base-pairing at the 3rd anti-codon position. The record is from RNAcentral. RNAcentral also lists the same sequence under 10 other names. Lineage: Bacteria; Bacillati; Bacillota; Clostridia; Lachnospirales; Lachnospiraceae.
CGGGGUGUGGCUCAGCUUGGCUAGAGCGCUUGAUUUGGGAUCAAGAGGUCGCAGGUUCGAAUCCUGUCACCCCGAC